GUCCAUGGGGUCAAAAAGAGUCAGACACAAGUGAGCAACUGAACAACAACAGAAAUGCAGAACCUUGGUCCUUACCCCAGACGGAAUGCUUCAGAAUCUGCUUGUUAACACGAGUCUCUGUAUCUGACGAGCACCGAGCUGACUUCCUCUACUUGCUGGGUACCAGCACAGCUACCUUUAGAGUUUCCAGAAUAUUUUCUAAAAUAUGUGUUUCCUCUGUGUGUAUGUGCUACUGCUCCUUACAACCAUUAUAAAUACGCGGUGAGAAACCGUGAAACCUUCCAGCACAAUUCACCGAAUCCCUCCGAGGAAGGUCUCCACCUAUAUAUCCCAUGGGUCAAGACAGGCUGGAGCAGAAGCCUUGAAAGCAGAUAGGAAACCAGUGCAGUGGCCUUUUGUGAUUGCCGGAAACUGAAGUAAAAUACAGAAAGCUGACAGCCAGAGGGAAUAUUUCUCCCCAGCCUGCAGCCUGGUUGCACUUAAGGAGGUCCUCUCUUUCUUCCCGUCUUCAACAAUAAGGAUCUCUCAACCUGAGGAGCCUCAUGGGAGGAGGCUUAUCAAUACCCGUGUCUGACUCAGAAGAUUAGAUUCUCACUUAGAAGAUUAGAUUCAUAUAUGACUACUGUUAUGAUCUGAGAGUUGGACCAUAAAGAAAGCAGAGGGCCA
Molecule: long non-coding RNA, 666 nt
Organism: Cervus elaphus (red deer)
Lineage: Eukaryota; Metazoa; Chordata; Mammalia; Artiodactyla; Cervidae
Exons: 4
Source: RefSeq, a predicted model, not a curated record